RNAcentral lists this ribosomal RNA (168 nucleotides) under Rickettsiales bacterium. RNAcentral's name for it is "partial 23S ribosomal RNA". It matches the Rfam family "Bacterial large subunit ribosomal RNA", at positions 2746 to 2925 of the family's 2925-position model. Lineage: Bacteria; Pseudomonadati; Pseudomonadota; Alphaproteobacteria; Rickettsiales. The record is from RNAcentral.
UAGCUAAGUAUGGACGGGAUAACCGCUGAAAGCAUCUAAGCGGGAAGCCUCCCUCAAAACUAGGUAUCCCUUGAGAGUCGUGGAAGACUACCACGUUGAUAGGCUAGGUGUUGAAGUGUGGUGACAUAUGAAGCUAACUAGUACUAAUAACUCGAAUGAACUUUAUUG